AACGAACGCUGGCGGCAGGCCUAACACAUGCAAGUCCAACGCCGUAGCAAUACGGAGUGGCAGACGGGUGAGUAACGCGUGGGAACAUACCCUUCGGUUCGGAAUAACUCAGGGAAACUUGAGCUAAUACCGGAUACGUCCGCAAGGAGAAAGAUUUAUCGCCGAGGGAUUGGCCCGCGUCUGAUUAGCUUGUUGGUGAGGUAAUGGCUCACCAAGGCGACGAUCAGUAGCUGGUCUGAGAGGAUCAGCCACAUUGGGACUGAGACACGGCCCAAACUCCUACGGGAGGCAGCAGUGGGGAAUAUUGGACAAUGGGCGAAAGCCUGAUCCAGCCAUGCCGCGUGAGUGAUGAAGGCCUUAGGGUUGUAAAGCUCUUUUACCCGGGAAGAUAAUGACGGUACCGGGAGAAUAAGCCCCGGCUAACUUCGUGCCAGCAGCCGCGGUAAUACGAAGGGGGCUAGCGUUGUUCGGAAUCACUGGGCGUAAAGCGCACGUAGGCGGAUUCUUAAGUCAGGGGUGAAAUCCCGAGGCUCAACCUCGGAACUGCCUUUGAUACUGGGGAUCUUGAGUCCGGGAGAGGUGAGUGGAACUGCGAGUGUAGAGGUGAAAUUCGUAGAUAUUCGCAAGAACACCAGUGGCGAAGGCGGCUCACUGGCCCGGUACUGACGCUGAGGUGCGAAAGCGUGGGGAGCAAACAGGAUUAGAUACCCUGGUAGUCCACGCCGUAAACGAUGGAUGCUAGCCGUUAGGCAGCUUGCUGUUUAGUGGCGCAGUUAACGCUUUAAGCAUCCCGCCUGGGGAGUACGGUCGCAAGAUUA
This 818-nucleotide ribosomal RNA is filed under the name uncultured bacterium. RNAcentral describes it as "bacterial SSU rRNA". It matches the Rfam family "Bacterial small subunit ribosomal RNA", at positions 28 to 896 of the family's 1533-position model. The record is from RNAcentral.